Molecule: unclassified non-coding RNA, 237 nt
Filed under: uncultured Suillus
Lineage: Eukaryota; Fungi; Basidiomycota; Agaricomycetes; Boletales; Suillaceae
Description: sequence contains ITS2
Source: RNAcentral
AAUUCUCAACCCCUCUCGAUUAGCUUCGAUAGGGUGCUUGGAUACUGGGGGCUGCCGGAGACCUGGACGAAAGUCUGGGACUCGGGCUCUCCUGAAAUGAAUCGGCUUGCGGUCGACUUUCGACUUUGCAUGACAAGGCUUUUGGCGUGAUAAUGAUCGCCGUUCGCUGAAGUGCAUGAAUGAAUGGCGCCGUGCCUCUAAUGCGUCGACGCCUUUUUUGGCGUCUUCCUUAUUGAC